RNAcentral lists this ribosomal RNA (494 nucleotides) under uncultured bacterium. RNAcentral describes it as "partial 16S ribosomal RNA". It matches the Rfam family "Bacterial small subunit ribosomal RNA", at positions 28 to 507 of the family's 1533-position model. The record is from RNAcentral.
GACGAACGCUGGCGGCGUGCUUAACACAUGCAAGUCGAACGGUGAAGCGCCUUCCUUUUUGGUGGGUGUGGAUGAGUGGCGAACGGGUGAGUAACACGUGAGUAACCUGCCCCCUUCUUCUGGAUAACCGCAUGAAAGUGUGGCUAAUACGGGAUAUUCUGGGUCUGUCGCAUGAUGGGUCUGGGAAAGCUAUUGUUUCGGUGGGUGAUUGUCUCGCGGCCUAUCAGCUUGUUGGUGGGGUGAUGGCCUACCAAGGCGGUGACGGGUAGCCGGCCUGAUAGGGUGGACGGGCACAGUGGGAAGGAGACACGGACAAGACUACGACGGGAGGCAGCAGUGAGGAAUAUGGCACGAGGGGGGGAAGCAUGAUGCAGCGACGCCGAGUGAGGGAUGGAGGCCUUCGGGUUGAGAACCUCUUUCGCCAGUGAAGCAGGCCUGCCUCGUUUGUGGGUGGGUUGACGGUAGCUGGAUAAGAAGCGCCGGCUAACUACGUG